Prosopis cineraria is the source of this 633-nucleotide long non-coding RNA. RefSeq lists it as uncharacterized. The record is from RefSeq and is a predicted model, not a curated record. Lineage: Eukaryota; Viridiplantae; Streptophyta; Magnoliopsida; Fabales; Fabaceae. The transcript has 4 exons.
AUGUUGCAGAAUGGGAUUGACUUAAGUACAGUGGAUGUUAGUUAUGUCAGUAGUCGAUCCUGGUACUUCCUGAAUCUGUUUGGGCUAAGGGGGUUCUUUAGUCUCAUCUUGGGGGAAGAAAAUGCUGUAGAUGAUACGCAACGUAUGAUGCAAAUGGGUGGGUUUGGUUUUGAUCCUUCAAAGGGUCUCAGUGCUGAGAAAGACAAUCUUGACAUAACCCAGCAUGAUUGGGCUUUACCCAAUUUUGAGCAGCGUGCGGAAACUGUACUGAAGAAACUGGUCAGCUGAACAGCUCAUGACACGGGCAGUUUAAUGAUUUGCUCUGUGAUCAGCCCAAAUACAGCAGCAAAGUGUGUGAUUGGGCUUCAACUAUUGCUGUCGGCCUGUGAAAUAUAACUGAUCAAGUUGAGAUCGUAGAUUUUAUUUCUAAGCUGAAAGUUGAUGAUAUUUAUAAAUAUUUAUCCGAAAACAAGUUCACAAUCUUUGUAGAAAGAGCAGAAAUUUUAUUAUUGCUUUCUAAUUUUAGGUUGGUCACGAGAAACUAGUUUCCCAUGAAAUGCGAGACCCUGCACUUUUUUGUAACUUUCGUCUGUUUCCUAGAUUGAUUGAAAAGUUUUGUCUGAUAUAUGAUUC